This 71-nucleotide transfer RNA is filed under the name Methanobacteriota archaeon. RNAcentral describes it as "Euryarchaeota archaeon tRNA-Gly". It matches the Rfam family "tRNA". From Rfam's summary of the family: Transfer RNA (tRNA) molecules are approximately 80 nucleotides in length. Their secondary structure includes four short double-helical elements and three loops (D, anti-codon, and T loops). Further hydrogen bonds mediate the characteristic L-shaped molecular structure. tRNAs have two regions of fundamental functional importance: the anti-codon, which is responsible for specific mRNA codon recognition, and the 3' end, to which the tRNAs corresponding amino acid is attached (by aminoacyl-tRNA synthetases). tRNAs cope with the degeneracy of the genetic code in two manners: having more than one tRNA (with a specific anti-codon) for a particular amino acid; and 'wobble' base-pairing, i.e. permitting non-standard base-pairing at the 3rd anti-codon position. RNAcentral also lists the same sequence under 1 other name. Lineage: Archaea; Methanobacteriati; Methanobacteriota. The record is from RNAcentral.
GCGGAUGUGGUGUAGCGGUAGCACUGGAGGUUUCCAACCUCCCUGCGUGGGUUCGAGUCCCGCCAUCCGCA